CUCAGUUUCCCGCUUCCACGGCUUUAGUGUUUCAUUCUACAAUAGAGUGACUAGCAGGAUCUAAAAUGUCAUUGGUCAGUUGAACUCCAACUCCAAUAAGACUUUCAAAUACUGGAUUAAAGUGCGCUUUAAUUCCAUCAAAAUCCUUGGCCUGCAUGGUUUGUUCUAGUCCUGACACAUCUGCAUCUGCAGGAGAAAAAGUAGAAAUAUUUUCAGAAUUAAAAUCAGAAGUGGAACGAACCUGGAUGUGGUUGACUUGGGUUGGCGUAAGAUGG
RNAcentral lists this long non-coding RNA (275 nucleotides) under Gossypium raimondii (Peruvian cotton). RNAcentral describes it as "long non-coding RNA (GRAI_LNC003890)". The record is from RNAcentral. Lineage: Eukaryota; Viridiplantae; Streptophyta; Magnoliopsida; Malvales; Malvaceae.